This 284-nucleotide ribosomal RNA is filed under the name uncultured Enterobacterales bacterium. RNAcentral describes it as "partial 16S ribosomal RNA". It matches the Rfam family "Bacterial small subunit ribosomal RNA", at positions 526 to 809 of the family's 1533-position model. The record is from RNAcentral. Lineage: Bacteria; Pseudomonadati; Pseudomonadota; Gammaproteobacteria; Enterobacterales.
CGGAGGGUGCAAGCGUUAAUCGGAAUUACUGGGCGUAAAGCGCACGCAGGCGGUCUGUCAAGUCGGAUGUGAAAUCCCCGGGCUCAACCUGGGAACUGCAUUCGAAACUGGCAGGCUAGAGUCUUGUAGAGGGGGGUAGAAUUCCAGGUGUAGCGGUGAAAUGCGUAGAGAUCUGGAGGAAUACCGGUGGCGAAGGCGGCCCCCUGGACAAAGACUGACGCUCAGGUGCGAAAGCGUGGGGAGCAAACAGGAUUAGAUACCCUGGUAGUCAAGGGCGAAUUCGC